UACGGGGGGGGCAAGCGUUGUUCGGAUUUACUGGGCGUAAAGGGCGCGUAGGCGGCCACCGCAAGUCGACUGUGAAAUCUCCGGGCUUAACUCGGAAAGGUCAGCCGAUACUGCGGGGCUAGAGUGCAGAAGGGGCAACUGGAAUUCUCGGUGUAGCGGUGAAAUGCGUAGAUAUCGAGAGGAACACCUGCGGCGAAGGCGGGUUGCUGGGCUGACACUGACGCUGAAGCGCGAAAGCUAGGGGAGCGAACGGG
RNAcentral lists this ribosomal RNA (254 nucleotides) under uncultured bacterium. RNAcentral's name for it is "partial 16S ribosomal RNA". It matches the Rfam family "Bacterial small subunit ribosomal RNA", at positions 524 to 776 of the family's 1533-position model. The record is from RNAcentral.